RNAcentral lists this ribosomal RNA (331 nucleotides) under uncultured eukaryote. Its description in RNAcentral is "partial 18S ribosomal RNA". It matches the Rfam family "Eukaryotic small subunit ribosomal RNA", at positions 1470 to 1796 of the family's 1831-position model. The record is from RNAcentral.
CCCUUAGAUGUUCUGGGCCGCACGCGCGCUACACUGUUCGACGCAGCGAGUCUUAACCUUGACCGAAAGGUUUGGGUAAUCUUCAGCAAAGUCGAACGUGAUGGGGAUCGAUCAUUGCAAUUAUUGAUCGUGAACGAGGAAUUCCUAGUAAGUGCAAGUCAUCAGCUUGCGCUGAUUACGUCCCUGCCCUUUGUACACACCGCCCGUCGCUACUACCGAUUGAAUGGUUUAGUGAGAUCUCUGGAUUGACGCUGGCUAGGGGGCGACCCUUGGCCAGGCUGUCGAGAAACUACUCAAACUUGAUCAUUUAGAGGAAGUAAAAGUCGUAACA